CUUUCAGGUGCAAAUCAAAGUCAGGCAUGGAGAUCUUGGGGGCUUUGAUGUUCAUCUCAGGCAUCUUGAAUUUGGGACCUUUCAACUUUCCCUCUGGGCCUUCGAUAUUCACAUCUGGAACAUCAAUGUCCACCUUGGGUCCUGAGACAUCAAGGUCAGCCUUGGGCAGGUUCACAUCCACUUCUCGGCCCUCUCCUUUGAAGCCAGGCAUGCUAAACUUGGGCAUUUUCAUCUUGGGCAUCUUCAGGUGCCAGUCUGGGCCUUGAACCUCCACAUCUGGGGCAUCAAUGUCCAUUUUGGGUCCUUUGAUUUCAACAUCUGGCACUUUCAUUUCACCUUCUACCUUGGGCACAGACACAUCCACAUCUGGGGCAUCAAUGUCC
RNAcentral lists this long non-coding RNA (383 nucleotides) under Homo sapiens (human). RNAcentral describes it as "HSALNT0176113". Lineage: Eukaryota; Metazoa; Chordata; Mammalia; Primates; Hominidae. The record is from RNAcentral.